ACAGCUACACAGCGAUGUGAUGCUAAUCUCCAAACCCAAUGUCUCAGUUCGGAUCGGAGUCUGCAACUCGACUCCGUGAAGCUGGAUUCGCUAGUAAUCGCGCAUCAGCCAUGGCGCGGUGAAUACGUUCCCGGGCCUUGUACACACCGCCCGUCAAGCCAUGGGAGCCGGGGGUACCUGAAGUCCGUAACCGCGAGGAUCGGCCUAGGGUAAAACUGGUGACUGGGGCUAAGUCGUAACAAGGUAGC
RNAcentral lists this ribosomal RNA (248 nucleotides) under uncultured bacterium. Its description in RNAcentral is "partial 16S ribosomal RNA". It matches the Rfam family "Bacterial small subunit ribosomal RNA", at positions 1246 to 1500 of the family's 1533-position model. The record is from RNAcentral.